This 460-nucleotide ribosomal RNA is filed under the name uncultured bacterium. RNAcentral describes it as "partial 16S ribosomal RNA". It matches the Rfam family "Bacterial small subunit ribosomal RNA", at positions 338 to 795 of the family's 1533-position model. The record is from RNAcentral.
CCUACGGGUGGCAGCAGUGAGGAAUAUUGGUCAAUGGACGAGAGUCUGAACCAGCCAAGUAGCGUGAAGGAUGACUGCCCUACGGGUUGUAAACUUCUUUUAUAAAGGAAUAAAGUGAGGCACGUGUGCCUUUUUGUAUGUACUUUAUGAAUAAGGAUCGGCUAACUCCGUGCCAGCAGCCGCGGUAAUACGGAGGAUCCGAGCGUUAUCCGGAUUUAUUGGGUUUAAAGGGAGCGUAGAUGGGUUUUUAAGUCAGUUGUGCAAGUUUGCGGCUCAAACGUAAAAUUGCAAUUGAUACUGGCAGCCUUGAGUACAGUUGAGGUAGGCGGAAUUCGUGGUGUAGCGGUGAAAUGCUUAGAUAUCACGAAGAACUCCGAUUGCGAAGGCAGCCUACUAAACUGCCACUGACAUUGAUGCUCGAAAGUGUGGGUAUCAAACAGGAUUAGAUACCCCGGUAGUC